UACGUAGGGGGCAAGCGUUGUCCGGAGUUACUGGGCGUAAAGCGCACGCAGGCGGUCUUUUAAGUUUGGCGUGACAGUUGGUGGCUUAACUGCCAAAGUGCUUCGAAAACUGACAGACUUGAGGGCUUCAGAGGGACACGGAAUUCCGGGUGGAGUGGUGAAAUGCGUAGAGAUCCGGAGGAACACCAAAGGCGAAGGCAGUGUCCUGGGGAGUACCUGACGCUCAGAUGCGAAAGCCAGGGGAGCGAACGGG
RNAcentral lists this ribosomal RNA (253 nucleotides) under uncultured bacterium. RNAcentral's name for it is "partial 16S ribosomal RNA". It matches the Rfam family "Bacterial small subunit ribosomal RNA", at positions 524 to 776 of the family's 1533-position model. The record is from RNAcentral.